RNAcentral lists this unclassified non-coding RNA (450 nucleotides) under uncultured Alteromonadaceae bacterium. Its description in RNAcentral is "partial 16S-23S ribosomal RNA intergenic spacer". The stretch from base 1 to 87 matches the Rfam family "Bacterial small subunit ribosomal RNA", at positions 1447 to 1533 of the family's 1533-position model. The record is from RNAcentral. Lineage: Bacteria; Pseudomonadati; Pseudomonadota; Gammaproteobacteria; Alteromonadales; Alteromonadaceae.
AGAACGAUUACCACUUUGUGUUUCAUGACUGGGGUGAAGUCGUAACAAGGUAACCCUAGGGGAACCUGGGGUUGGAUCACCUCCUUACUAUUACGUCGAUGACGCCCUUGAUGCAGUGCCUACACAGAUUGUUUUGUUUAUUUAUAAAGACUCGCUUCGCGAGUGUCGCGAAUAGCUGCUUAAACGGAAGGAAACUUCCUGACAGCCAUUCUGCUCGCUAAAGUGGUAGUUGUUUUUAAAUAGAAUGCUAAUCAAUAAUCUUAUUAUUGAUUAGUGUUUUUUUAUAAUGCACUAAUGUUCUUUAACAAUUUGGAAAGCUGAUAUUAAUAGUAAUCAAUCAAAAGAGUAAUUGAGAAGUCGAAAGACGCACUUUUUACUCUACUUGACUUGAAUUGCUUGUUAUCGACAACGCCGCAAGGCGGGUUAAUCGACUUGUUCGGUUAACAAAGA